Molecule: long non-coding RNA, 783 nt
Organism: Vicia villosa (hairy vetch)
Lineage: Eukaryota; Viridiplantae; Streptophyta; Magnoliopsida; Fabales; Fabaceae
Exons: 5
Source: RefSeq, a predicted model, not a curated record
UCUGCCACGUGGACAGGUUCUUUGCCUUCCUUUUUUGUUCUCUGCUUUUCUAAUUUUCUAAAACCUAUUUCUACCUUUCUAAAACAUAUCAACACACGUGAACUCAACAAAUCCAACAACUACCUUUUUUCAAAUAUUUGAACUAUCUUUCUUGGAAACAGAGAUAUGGCUUUUCUCCUACUCAGACUCUAAAGUCUUUUCAUUUCCUUUCACUCAUUACCUUUCCAGAUCUCUUUUCUAACCCUUUUCCAUCUUCUACUUUCCUCGGUCUUCAACCUUCCUUUCCUCCUCCCUUUUCAUUAUUCAUUCGUCUUCGACCUUCCAACUCACGAAGAUUUGGAGAUGAAAAUGCUUAUUGAUGUGCGAUUCAGAUUUUCGUUUCAAAACUCCUUCGACGAUGCCGCUUCGUAUGGGGUUGUCUGAUCAGAAGCUGCAUAUGUGAUUCUGCCACAAUUGGUAGAUGUUUACGGUCAGAGACGUUUGACAAGUGCGUUGGAGUGGAUGGGAAAACACUCUUUAAGUAUAUUUGUCCUUGUAUAUUCAAACUUGCCGUGAUUUCUAUUCAAGGAUUUUAUUUGAGGAAAUCUGAAAAUAACAUUCUCAGCAGUGAAGUUGUGCUUUCGCGUCGGUUUGUUUACAGUGGCUUUAAAUCAUGGCUGUGUAUUGUGGGCGUGUUGUUAGCUCUCUGAAUCAGUCUUCAAUGCAGAUUAAUAUUAGAAAUUAUUGUAGGAGUGUUAAAAAGAUAUGUAUUUAUUGUCGAGAUAUCGGUAUAAUUAGAUAAAG